CGAGCGACAGAUAGGAGCUUGCUCCUUUGACGUUAGCGGCGGACGGGUGAGUAACACGUGGGUAACCUACCUAUAAGACUGGGAUAACUUCGGGAAACCGGAGCUAAUACCGGAUAACAUUUGGAACCGCAUGGUUCUAAAGUGAAAGAUGGUUUUGCUAUCACUUAUAGAUGGACCCGCGCCGUAUUAGCUAGUUGGUAAGGUAACGGCUUACCAAGGCGACGAUACGUAGCCGACCUGAGAGGGUGAUCGGCCACACUGGAACUGAGACACGGUCCAGACUCCUACGGGAGGCAGCAGUAGGGAAUCUUCCGCAAUGGGCGAAAGCCUGACGGAGCAACGCCGCGUGAGUGAUGAAGGGUUUCGGCUCGUAAAACUCUGUUAUUAGGGAAGAACAAAUGUGUAAGUAACUGUGCACGUCUUGACGGUAC
Molecule: ribosomal RNA, 431 nt
Filed under: Staphylococcus saprophyticus
Lineage: Bacteria; Bacillati; Bacillota; Bacilli; Caryophanales; Staphylococcaceae
Description: bacterial SSU rRNA
Rfam family: Bacterial small subunit ribosomal RNA
Source: RNAcentral